This 492-nucleotide ribosomal RNA is filed under the name uncultured bacterium. Its description in RNAcentral is "partial 16S ribosomal RNA". It matches the Rfam family "Bacterial small subunit ribosomal RNA", at positions 29 to 507 of the family's 1533-position model. The record is from RNAcentral.
AGUGAACGCUGGCGGUAGGCCUAACACAUGCAAGUCGAACGGCAGCACAGUAAGAGCUUGCUCUUACGGGUGGCGAGUGGCGGACGGGUGAGGAAUACAUCGGAAUCUACUUUUUCGUGGGGGAUAACGUAGGGAAACUUACGCUAAUACCGCAUACGACCUACGGGUGAAAGCAGGGGAUCUUCGGACCUUGCGCGAUUGAAUGAGCCGAUGUCGGAUUAGCUAGUUGGCGGGGUAAAGGCCCACCAAGGCGACGAUCCGUAGCUGGUCUGAGAGGAUGAUCAGCCACACUGGAACUGAGACACGGUCCAGACUCCUACGGGAGGCAGCAGUGGGGAAUAUUGGACAAUGGGCGCAAGCCUGAUCCAGCGAUACCGCGUGGGUGAAGAAGGCCUUCGGGUUGUAAAGCCCUUUUGUUGGGAAAGAAAAGCAGCAGGUUAAUACCCCGCUGUUCUGACGGUACCCAAAGAAUAAGCACCGGCUAUCUUCGUG